Molecule: ribosomal RNA, 497 nt
Filed under: uncultured bacterium
Lineage: Bacteria
Description: partial 16S ribosomal RNA
Rfam family: Bacterial small subunit ribosomal RNA
Source: RNAcentral
GAUGAACGCUGGCGGCGUGCCUAAUACAUGCAAGUCGAGCGAACAGACGAGGAGCUUGCUCCUCUGACGUUAGCGGCGGACGGGUGAGUAACACGUGGAUAACCUACCUAUAAGACUGGGAUAACUUCGGGAAACCGGAGCUAAUACCGGAUAAUAUAUUGAACCGCAUGGUUCAAUAGUGAAAGACGGUUUUGCUGUCACUUAUAGAUGGAUCCGCGCCGCAUUAGCUAGUUGGUAAGGUAACGGCUUACCAAGGCAACGAUGCGUAGCCGACCUGAGAGGGUGAUCGGCCACACUGGAACUGAGACACGGUCCAGACUCCUACGGGAGGCAGCAGUAGGGAAUCUUCCGCAAUGGGCGAAAGCUUGACGGAGCAACGCCGCGUGAGUGAUGAAGGUCUUCGGAUCGUAAAACUCUGUUAUUAGGGAAGAACAUAUGUGUAAGUAACUGUGCACGUCUUGACGGUACCUAAUCAGAAAGCCACGGCUAACUACGUG